This 401-nucleotide ribosomal RNA is filed under the name Pagrus major (red seabream). RNAcentral describes it as "partial 16S ribosomal RNA". It matches the Rfam family "Bacterial large subunit ribosomal RNA", at positions 2039 to 2590 of the family's 2925-position model. The record is from RNAcentral. Lineage: Eukaryota; Metazoa; Chordata; Actinopteri; Spariformes; Sparidae.
AAAUUGAUCUCCCCGUGCAGAAGCGGGGAUAAUACCAUAAGACGAGAAGACCCUAUGGAGCUUUAGACGUCAGAGCAGCCCAUGUAAAGCACCCCUUAACAAAGGAAAAAACCAAAUGAAGCCUGCCCUAAUGUCUUUGGUUGGGGCGACCGCGGGGAAAUACAAAACCCCCAUGUGGAGUAGGAAUACACAUUCCUAAACCCAAGAGCUCCCGCUCUAAUGAACAGAAAUUCUGACCAAUAAGAUCCGGCACACGCCGAUCAACGGACCGAGUUACCCUAGGGAUAACAGCGCAAUCCCCUUAAAGAGCCCUUAUCGACAAGGGGGUUUACGACCUCGAUGUUGGAUCAGGACAUCCUAAUGGUGCAGCCGCUAUUAAGGGUUCGUUUGUUCAACGAUUG